Molecule: ribosomal RNA, 484 nt
Filed under: uncultured bacterium
Lineage: Bacteria
Description: partial 16S ribosomal RNA
Rfam family: Bacterial small subunit ribosomal RNA
Source: RNAcentral
AUUGAACGCUGGCGGCAGGCCUAACACAUGCAAGUCGAGCGGAUGAAGGGAGCUUGCUCCUGGAUUCAGCGGCGGACGGGUGAGUAAUGCCUAGGAAUCUGCCUGGUAGUGGGGGAUAACGUCCGGAAACGGGCGCUAAUACCGCAUACGUCCUGCGGGAGAAAGUGGGGGAUCUUCGGACCUCACGCUAUCAGAUGAGCCUAGGUCGGAUUAGCUAGUUGGUGGGGUAAAGGCCGACCAAGGCGACGAUCCGUAACUGGUCUGAGAGGAGGAUCAGUCACACUGGAACUGAGAAACGGUCCAGACUCCUACGGGAGGCAGCAGUGGGGAAUAUUGGACAAUGGGCGAAAGCCUGAUCCAGCCAUGCCGCGUGUGUGAAGAAGGUCUUCGGAUUGUAAAGCACUUUAAGUUGGGAGGAAGGACAGUAAGUUAAUACCUUGCUGUUUUGACGUUACCAACAGAAUAAGCACCGGCUAACUUCGUG